Molecule: small nuclear RNA, 141 nt
Filed under: Jaculus jaculus (lesser Egyptian jerboa)
Lineage: Eukaryota; Metazoa; Chordata; Mammalia; Rodentia; Dipodidae
Description: U4 spliceosomal RNA (ENSJJAG00000004926.1)
Rfam family: U4 spliceosomal RNA
About the family: U4 small nuclear RNA (U4 snRNA) is a component of the major U2-dependent spliceosome. The structure of U4 snRNA from yeast and human has been reported.
Source: Rfam by way of RNAcentral
AGCUUUGCGCAGUGGCAAUAUCGUAGCCAAUGAGGUUUAUCCAAGGCGCAAUUAUUGCUAAGUGAAAACUUUUUCCAAUACCCCGCUGUGACGACUUGCAAUAUAGUCGGCACUGGGAAUUUUUGACAGUCUCUACGGAGA